GCUUGGUCAGAAGAAAGGCAGCGGAGUGACAAAGCAGUGCUGUCCGACAGCACCGAUGUCUCCUGCGUGUGGCACGGCGCUUCCCGGGAUGAUGGGAAGGUUCCCUCGGCGAGCUUCUGCUGACACCUGCUGCCAGAGCCGAGCCAGCACAGCCCGGCGGGCGCGGCGCCGGCCCUGCCGCGGGACUCCGGGGCGCAGCUUCGGCUUCGGACUGCCGGCGUUGGAUGGGAAGAGAACACUGCUGGGCUGCAUGCUGCCUCUGAGGACCAGGAGAAGAGGAGGCCUGUGACCAACACCCCUCCGGAAUUCCACAGCUGGAAACGUCUGUCAUUGCCCUACCGAAGAAACAAGUGCCUUUGAAAAAUAAUUGCUUUGACCUGGGAAUGGCCCAUUUCCUGAGGGUAAAUGACAAAGAAGAGACAGAAUAGCACUGGGUGAAGAUCAAGCUGAAAUUUUUACAUCUUCCAUCCUGGGCCUGAAAUGAAUGCCUGCUACUUUGACUGUCAGUGCUUGGUUCUCAUCAACGAAGUGGCACGAGUUCAGGUAUGUCCUGUUGCUGACAAUUAAUCACUCUUCUGACCCAUUACAAAUAGACUUAACUUUGUAAUCAGUGUGAUCUUCAAUCCUACUUGCUUGACUGUGAUGUUGUUGUUUGCCUGUGAAAACAGCAUGGCUCUUGCCAUGGUCUCUGGUAGGACUCAUUGCUACACUCUGCAGGGUACUUACCAACCAGGCAGACACUGUAUUUCCUGAAUUUUCCUGUAAGACUGCUUAAAGAUUUAGUUACUUGUGUAAUCUGUAUUCAGCGUUACAACACAGAACUUCCUUAUCCUGUUUGCCAGAUACAGUGUAUAA
This is a long non-coding RNA of Onychostruthus taczanowskii (white-rumped snowfinch), 855 nucleotides long. RefSeq lists it as uncharacterized. The record is from RefSeq and is a predicted model, not a curated record. The transcript has 3 exons. NCBI's taxonomy places the organism in Eukaryota, Metazoa, Chordata, Aves, Passeriformes, Passeridae.